Molecule: long non-coding RNA, 129 nt
Organism: Octopus sinensis (East Asian common octopus)
Lineage: Eukaryota; Metazoa; Mollusca; Cephalopoda; Octopoda; Octopodidae
Exons: 2
Source: RefSeq, a predicted model, not a curated record
AAAAAGCACCAUUCGAGCGUGAGCAUUACCUGUGUCAUCUAACUGGCACUUGUGCUGGUGGCACGUGAAAACAACAUUCGAGCGAGGUCAUUGCCAGUGCCACUGGACUGGCUCCUGUGCAGGUGGCAC